Molecule: ribosomal RNA, 289 nt
Filed under: Sarcophaga peregrina
Lineage: Eukaryota; Metazoa; Arthropoda; Insecta; Diptera; Sarcophagidae
Description: partial 16S ribosomal RNA
Source: RNAcentral
UCUGGUAUGAAAGGUUUGACGAGAUAUUAACUGUUUCAUAAAAAUUUAUAAUAGAAUUUUAUUUUUUAGUCAAAAAGCUAAAAUAAUAUUAAAAGACGAGAAGACCCUAUAAAUCUUUAUACAUAGAUUAUUAGAAUUUCAUAGAUUUUUUUUGUUAUAAUAAUUAAUUGUAUUUUAUUGGGGUGAUAUUAAAAUUUAAUAAACUUUUAAUUUUAAAAAUCAUUAAUUUAUGAAUAAUUGAUCCGUUAAUAACGAUUAAAAAAAUAAGUUACCUUAGGGAUAACAGCGA